UACGAAGGGUGCUAGCGUUGUUCGGAAUCACUGGGCGUAAAGCGCAUGCAGGCGGGUUGUUAAGUCAGGGGUGAAAUCCCGGGGCUCAACCUCGGAACUGCCUCUGAUACUGGCGGCCUUGAGUGCGGGAGAGGUGAGUGGAACUGCGAGUGUAGAGGUGAAAUGCGUAGAUAUUCGCAAGAACACCAGUGGCGAAGGCGGCUCACUGGCCCGGUACUGACGCUGAGGUGCGAAAGCGUGGGGAGCAAACAGG
RNAcentral lists this ribosomal RNA (253 nucleotides) under uncultured bacterium. RNAcentral's name for it is "partial 16S ribosomal RNA". It matches the Rfam family "Bacterial small subunit ribosomal RNA", at positions 524 to 776 of the family's 1533-position model. The record is from RNAcentral.